GUUCAGAUGACGAGUCCCAAAUAGGACAAGACCCACGUCCUGGAU
Molecule: non-coding RNA, 45 nt
Organism: Schistosoma haematobium
Lineage: Eukaryota; Metazoa; Platyhelminthes; Trematoda; Strigeidida; Schistosomatidae
Source: Rfam